UUUCCUUUUUGCAGUGCAGUACUUACCUUUCUUGUGUCAACAUGUGUAUCUUUCUCGUGGUUCUUUAAUGUAUUAGCCACUGUGCAUUAAGACUGAAGCUAAGAAUGAUGGAAACAUUUUAAUUUUUUGUUUAACGCUCAAAUUGAAUUUUGUGUGCAAGUUGUAUUCCUCUCGUCAGCAUUGGUUGCAUAGAACAUCACUCUCACAGCAUGCGUUGAUUCGAUUCAACAUUACUAACUGUUUGAUGCCAAAGUUAGUUGGAACUCUAACUCAAACACUGGUUCUUUUCCAGUUUCCUCACAAAAUUGGAAGCUGCUGGAGUAAUCUAUCUAAGUGUCCAUCCCCACUUGAUUCAUUUCGUGCCAGCUGGUGAAAGGCGUGACGAAUUCAAAUUUAGCUGCUGACUGCUGUCUGCAAGCAAGCAAUCCAAUUGGCUGUCGCUAGGUGGCGCGAGUGUGUUCAGGCGACCAAAUUCGGCCAUUUUGUUCCUUGACGCAGUCGAAGUGGGAUGCCGGUCGUGACGUUUCGCAUGAUGAAAAUGCAAAGAUGAUUUCAAUGCCACUUUGUCAAAUCAUCUAACCCGGACUUAGUGCCUGUUCAUUUUGCCGAAAUGUCGUGCCUCGUGUAUCUUGCUGCCUGUACCCAGUCGAGUCGUACGUCUCGUCCCAUGCAAAAGCCAAAAGUCCACUGUUUGUUUGCUUGUUGCAGCCAGAUGCUGAAAGGUGGGAUGACGUCUAAUUGAACCAUCAUAUGCAGCGUGUUGUUGCAGUGUUAUCCAGAAGUAGCUGUUCAGUGUGGCAGUAUCCCGAAGUAGCCUGAAACAGCCUGAAGCCUGAAGUUGCCAGUGAUAUCUGGGUUGCUGACUUGGAAAUUUUUCUCUGUUCUCAUUUGUGUCUUUUGCUCUGCCAGUGGUAUCAUGUGUUGCAGACUUUAAAUCUUUCUAUCUGUUCUUAUUAGUGCGUUUUUUUUUCUCUACCACUGAUUUCCUGUGUUGCUGUUUUGAAAUCGUUUCAUCUGUCGUCUUUGGCGUUUUUACUUGUGCACAUGUGCAGUAUACGAUUGAGGCAACCUGUCCUAUGACAGGUUUGACUAAGUCGACAACUGCUAGAUUAAAUUCCGGCUUUCUGCACCAACAAAAUAAUAACGGCACAUGUUAUUAUCGCGGUUGGGAAAGUCACAGGCCCCCCCCUCCCUGGGGGCCAUAAAAUAUACACGUGGUUAUGUUUAUAAUAAAUAUUUAAUAAA
Molecule: long non-coding RNA, 1245 nt
Organism: Daphnia pulex (common water flea)
Lineage: Eukaryota; Metazoa; Arthropoda; Branchiopoda; Diplostraca; Daphniidae
Exons: 5
Source: RefSeq, a predicted model, not a curated record